AUCAAGGAGAGAAGCAACCUGGAACUAGGAGGAAUUUUCUGACAUGGAGAACAAUUAACCAGUGGAACAACUUGCCUUCAGAAGUUCUGGGUGCUCCAACACUGGAGGUUUUUAAGAAGAGACACAACAGCCAUUUGAAAUGGUAUGGGGGAGGAGCAAUGAGUACC
Notechis scutatus (mainland tiger snake) is the source of this 167-nucleotide non-coding RNA. Lineage: Eukaryota; Metazoa; Chordata; Lepidosauria; Squamata; Elapidae. The record is from RefSeq and is a predicted model, not a curated record.